This 688-nucleotide ribosomal RNA is filed under the name uncultured bacterium. Its description in RNAcentral is "bacterial SSU rRNA". It matches the Rfam family "Bacterial small subunit ribosomal RNA", at positions 60 to 719 of the family's 1533-position model. The record is from RNAcentral.
AGUCGAACGCUUCUUUUUCCACCGGAGCUUGCUCCGCCGGAAAAAGAGGAGUGGCGAACGGGUGAGUAACACGUGGGUAACCUGCCCAUCAGAAGGGGAUAACACUUGGAAACAGGUGCUAAUACCGUAUAACAAUCAAAACCGCAUGGUUUUGAUUUGAAAGGCGCUUUCGGGUGUCGCUGAUGGAUGGACCCGCGGUGCAUUAGCUAGUUGGUGAGGUAACGGCUCACCAAGGCCACGAUGCAUAGCCGACCUGAGAGGGUGAUCGGCCACAUUGGGACUGAGACACGGCCCAAACUCCUACGGGAGGCAGCAGUAGGGAAUCUUCGGCAAUGGACGAAAGUCUGACCGAGCAACGCCGCGUGAGUGAAGAAGGUUUUCGGAUCGUAAAACUCUGUUGUUAGAGAAGAACAAGGAUGAGAGUAACUGUUCAUCCCUUGACGGUAUCUAACCAGAAAGCCACGGCUAACUACGUGCCAGCAGCCGCGGUAAUACGUAGGUGGCAAGCGUUGUCCGGAUUUAUUGGGCGUAAAGCGAGCGCAGGCGGUUUCUUAAGUCUGAUGUGAAAGCCCCCGGCUCAACCGGGGAGGGUCAUUGGAAACUGGGAGACUUGAGUGCAGAAGAGGAGAGUGGAAUUCCAUGUGUAGCGGUGAAAUGCGUAGAUAUAUGGAGGAACACCAGUGGCGAA